AGAGCGAACGCUGGCGGCAGGCCUAAUACAUGCAAGUCGAACGCACCUUCGGGUGAGUGGCGGACGGGUGAGUAACACGUGGGAACGUGCCCUUUGGUUCGGAAUAAUCCGGGGAAACCUGGCCUAAUACCGGAUGUGCCCUUCGGGGGAAAGAUUUAUCGCCAUUGGAGCGGCCCGCGUCUGAUUAGCUAGUUGGUGGGGUAAAGGCCCACCAAGGCUACGAUCAGUAGCUGGUCUGAGAGGAUGAUCAGCCACACUGGGACUGAGACACGGCCCAGACUCCUACGGGAGGCAGCAGUAGGGAAUCUUGCGCAAUGGGGGAAACCAUGACGCAGCCAUGCCGCGUGAAUGAUGAAGGUCUUAGGAUUGUAAAAUUCUUUCAGCGGGGAAGAUAAUGACUGUACCCGCAGAAGAAGCUCCGGCUAACUUCGUGCCAGCAGCCGC
Molecule: ribosomal RNA, 444 nt
Filed under: uncultured bacterium
Lineage: Bacteria
Description: SSU rRNA
Rfam family: Bacterial small subunit ribosomal RNA
Source: RNAcentral